UGGAAAAAUACUGAACGGUUUAGAAUGUGAACCUCGUGACUCUUUAGAGCCAAAGAGGGGAGGGACUUGUGCUGUAUUUAAUGAGAAACUUUGUUAGCCUCGGGGCGCCUUUUUCUCAGAAGGGUGCCCAACUCUGCAGACUUGCUAAUAAAACUUUGUUUUCCUGAAUUUGUCUAGAGCGAUUAUUGAGAAGCGAUUUUCGUUUCUAACAAGUACUAUCUGGCUUGUUGUGCUUGAUGCUGCAGUGCUCCAUCAUGCUGAAGUUAUACAGCGCACAGGAUGCAAGACUAAUGCUGCACACACUCUCAGAACUGUACUACAAUGCCAGCAAUCAGACCAAUGCAAGCACUGGAACUUCAUCUUCAACAAGUCUAUCAUCUGCUCCAUGAUUACUUUUUUGGAGGAAUAGUAGACAAGCAGGAGGUUGGAAGAACACAGCAGCCAAACAGCAUCAGGAAGUGAAGAAGUCGAUGUUUCAGACUGACUCCUUUGAAGCCUGCUGACGUAUGCACGAUUGUGAACGGACCAAGAGUGUGGACUGUUGCACACGAUUGGUAUAGCCUUUGGACCAUUGUAUAACUCUGUUUGGUUGUCAAUUGAUUCCAAAUGAAAACCUGAAGACGACUUGUUCCUCUGAUUAUUCUCUGUGUCUCCUAAUGAGUCCCAGAAGUAAGUUCUCUGCCCUUCCCUACUCCCCACCCCCGGCAGCCAAAGGAGACACUGUGAAUAAGAAGACCAAAAGAGUAAAGAUGAAAAAGAACUGCUUUGUUUCAGGAAGAGGAAGGACAAAAUGGAUGACAGAUUACAUCCAGCAAGAAAUCAAGGUACUACGGAAGCAAAGCUAAGAAGAGGAACUUAUUCAAAUGGAGAACUCAAAAAAAAUUCUUAAGUAAGCUUGCCAAAAGUUGCAAAUAAAAACCAAGUGUAAUGUUAAACAAAAUCUACAAUAGAAUGUAAAA
Chiloscyllium plagiosum (whitespotted bambooshark) is the source of this 959-nucleotide non-coding RNA. The record is from RefSeq and is a predicted model, not a curated record. Lineage: Eukaryota; Metazoa; Chordata; Chondrichthyes; Orectolobiformes; Hemiscylliidae.